RNAcentral lists this ribosomal RNA (1372 nucleotides) under uncultured bacterium. RNAcentral's name for it is "16S ribosomal RNA". It matches the Rfam family "Bacterial small subunit ribosomal RNA". The record is from RNAcentral.
AGAGUUUGAUCCUGGCUCAGGACGAACGCUGGCGGCGUGCCUAACACAUGCAAGUCGAACGGACUGAAGGAGCUUGCUCCUUCAGUUAGUGGCGGACGGGUGAGUAACGCGUGAGUAACCUGGUUCGAAGAGGGGGAUAACGCAGGGAAACCUGUGCUAAUACCGCAUAAUGUAUACGGACCGCAUGAUCUGUAUACCAAAGGAGCAAUCCGCUUUGAAAUGGACUCGCGUCCGAUUAGAUAGUUGGUGAGGUAACGGCCCACCAAGUCUGCGAUCGGUAGCCGGACUGAGAGGUUGAACGGCCACAUUGGGACUGAGAUACGGCCCAGACUCCUACGGGAGGCAGCAGUAGGGGAUAUUAGACAAUGGGGGAAACCCUGAUCUAGCAACGCCGCGUGAAGGAUGAAGGUCUUCGGAUUGUAAACUUCUUUGACGAGGGAAGAUAAUGACGGUACCUCGAAAACAAGCCACGGCUAACUACGUGCCAGCAGCCGCGGUAAUACGUAGGUGGCGAGCGUUGUCCGGAUUUACUGGGUGUAAAGGGCGUGUAGGCGGGAUUGUAAGUCAGAUGUGAAAUGCAGAGGCUUAACCUCUGAGCUGCAUUUGAAACUGCAAUUCUUGAGUGAUGGAGAGGUAAGCGGAAUUCCCAGUGUAGCGGUAAAAUGCGUAGAUAUUGGGAGGAACACCAGUGGCGAAGGCGGCUUACUGGACAUUAACUGACGCUGAGGCGCGAAAGUGUGGGGAGCAAACAGGAUUAGAUACCCUGGUAGUCCACACAGUAAACGAUGGAUACUAGGUGUGGGGGGUCUGACCCCCUCCGUGCCGGAGUUAACACAAUAAGUAUCCCACCUGGGGAGUACGGUCGCAAGAUUAAAACUCAAAGGAAUUGACGGGGACCCGCACAAGCAGUGGAGCAUGUGGUUUAAUUCGACGCUACGCGAAAAACCUUACCAAGGCUUGACAUCCUACUAACGAAGUAGAGAUACAUUAGGUGCCCCUCGGGGAAAGUAGAGACAGGUGGUGCAUGGUUGUCGUCAGCUCGUGUCGUGAGAUGUUGGGUUAAGUCCCGCAACGAGCGCAACCCCUGCGGUUAGUUGCUACGAAAGAGCACUCUAGCCGGACUGCCGUCGACAAAACGGAGGAAGGUGGGGACGACGUCAAAUCAUCAUGCCCUUUAUGUCUUGGGCUACACACGUACUACAAUGGCGAUCAACAGAGGGCAGCAAAGCCGCGAGGCCGAGCAAAUCCCCAAAAGCCGCCCCAGUUCAGAUUGCAGUCUGCAACCCGACUGCAUGAAGCCGGAAUUGCUAGUAAUCGCGGAUCAGCAUGCCGCGGUGAAUACGUUCCCGGGUCUUGUACACACCGCCGGUCA